Molecule: ribosomal RNA, 253 nt
Filed under: uncultured bacterium
Lineage: Bacteria
Description: partial 16S ribosomal RNA
Rfam family: Bacterial small subunit ribosomal RNA
Source: RNAcentral
UACGUAGGUGACAAGCGUUGUCCGGAUUUACUGGGCGUAAAGAGCGCGCAGGCGGUCGUGCAAGUCGAGUGUGAAAGCCCCCGGCUCAACUGGGGAGGGUCACUCGAUACUGUUCGACUCGAAGGCAGGAGAGGGAAGCGGAAUUCCCGGUGUAGUGGUGAAAUGCGUAGAUAUCGGGAGGAACACCAGUGGCGAAGGCGGCUUCCUGGGCUGUGACUGACGCUGAGAUGCGACAGCUAGGGGAGCGAACAGG